This 432-nucleotide ribosomal RNA is filed under the name Escherichia coli. Its description in RNAcentral is "bacterial SSU rRNA". It matches the Rfam family "Bacterial small subunit ribosomal RNA", at positions 1094 to 1526 of the family's 1533-position model. The record is from RNAcentral. RNAcentral also lists the same sequence under 1 other name. Lineage: Bacteria; Pseudomonadati; Pseudomonadota; Gammaproteobacteria; Enterobacterales; Enterobacteriaceae.
GAGCGCAACCCUUAUCCUUUGUUGCCAGCGGUCCGGCCGGGAACUCAAAGGAGACUGCCAGUGAUAAACUGGAGGAAGGUGGGGAUGACGUCAAGUCAUCAUGGCCCUUACGACCAGGGCUACACACGUGCUACAAUGGCGCAUACAAAGAGAAGCGACCUCGCGAGAGCAAGCGGACCUCAUAAAGUGCGUCGUAGUCCGGAUUGGAGUCUGCAACUCGACUCCAUGAAGUCGGAAUCGCUAGUAAUCGUGGAUCAGAAUGCCACGGUGAAUACGUUCCCGGGCCUUGUACACACCGCCCGUCACACCAUGGGAGUGGGUUGCAAAAGAAGUAGGUAGCUUAACCUUCGGGAGGGCGCUUACCACUUUGUGAUUCAUGACUGGGGUGAAGUCGUAACAAGGUAACCGUAGGGGAACCUGCGGUUGGAUCAC